Molecule: ribosomal RNA, 774 nt
Filed under: uncultured Neocallimastigales
Lineage: Eukaryota; Fungi; Neocallimastigomycota; Neocallimastigomycetes; Neocallimastigales
Description: partial large subunit ribosomal RNA
Rfam family: Eukaryotic large subunit ribosomal RNA
Source: RNAcentral
GUACACGCUGUGACUAGCAUAUCAAUAAGCGGAGGAAAAGAAACUAACUAGGAUUCCCUCAGUAACGGCGAGUGAAGCGGGAAGAGCUCAAAUUUGAAAUCUUCAAGGUUCUACCUUGACGAAUUGUAGUUUAAAGAAGUGUUUUCUGUUGGAGUUUUGGUAAAAGUUCUUUGGAAUAGGACAUCAUAGAGGGUGAGAAUCCCGUAUUUGACCAUUAUUUCCAGCUUUGUGAUACACUUUCAAAGAGUCGGAUCGCUUGGGAAUGCAGUCCAAAAUGGGUGGUAAAUUUCAUCUAAAGCUAAAUACUGGCGAGAGACCGAUAGCGAACAAGUACCGUGAGGGAAAGAUGAAAAGAACUUUGAAAAGAGAGUUAAACAGUACGUGAAAUUGUCAAAAGGGAAGCGUUUGACACCAGUGUUGUUUUCUCGAAAAUCAAUUAAAAAAGGCAGGAUUUUGUGUUGUAUUGACUUUAUCAGCUUUCUGCACUCUUUUCUUGUCUUUUUUAAUGCACUUUUCGUUUAACAAGUCAACAUCAAUUUCUUUUGUUGUAAAAGGGUCAUUGGAAGGUGGCUUUCUUUUCGGAGAAAGUGUUUAUAGCCUUUGGCCUCUGCAAUCGGAGAGAUUGAGGUCUGCAGCGUAGAUCCUUCGGGGUUAGAUACAUUUGUGCUAAGUUAUAGCCUUUCAUAGACAACUUGUUGACUAUGAUCAGUCAUGUAGCUUACUCGCUUAUGCUAUUUUACCUACGCUUAGGAUGUUGAAGACUCUACAGAGAUA